This 756-nucleotide long non-coding RNA is filed under the name Cyanistes caeruleus (blue tit). RNAcentral's name for it is "lncRNA (ENSCCEG00000011293.1)". The record is from RNAcentral. Lineage: Eukaryota; Metazoa; Chordata; Aves; Passeriformes; Paridae.
GUAAGUACCCACAUAGUACUUGGCAUGAGACUGUCCUUGCAAAUUAGAAAUACACCUGCAAAUACAUUUUAGAGAUGCUGAAAUUUCUCACUGCAUGAAGCUGACACAUAUUCAAUCAAUUUAGUAUGUUUUGAAGUCAAGAAAAUGCAAUUGCAGGUUCUUUCUUCUUUUUGUGGUGUUCAUGCCAAAGAACCCAGCUGGGUGAGUUUUGGAACAUGGCACUGUGACACCUCGGGGUCCUAUCUGCAGUGUGCCAGCCACACAGACACCUUGCUUGUCAGUUCUUCCCCCCCACCCCUCAACAGCAGUUGCAGUGUUCACAGCUCCCCACUUCUCAGCUAUGGUUCUUUACAGGACAGUUGUCCCAUCAAAGUGAGGAUAAUGCAUAGCAGAUGAAGGGCGUGAUUUCAGUGAACUCUCCGCACAGGGAAAUGUGUAAAUUCUUCAGCUGGAGAGUUCAUUGUGUCUGCGUCAGUCAGCUGAGUGACUCUGUUGUGAUACUAAUGCAGGUCUGACUCUAGGUUUAAAGCCUGAAUUUAUAUAACUGAAAAACUCGGCACAUUUAUGUUGAGAGAAGUGAGUAAUUUUUGUUUUCUUAAGCUUCACCUGAUUUAAAAGCUUUUCUCCUUCAUUCUAUUUCCCUCCUCUUCUGUUCUUGCGUAUCUGUUUUGACAUGCUACCUCACAAAUAACUGAUCCUCUCUUUCUUCAUAGUAAAGAGUUGUGGUUUUUCAAAAAAUCUGAAGAUGUAUCUCAC